This 995-nucleotide long non-coding RNA is filed under the name Cricetulus griseus (Chinese hamster). RNAcentral describes it as "lncRNA (ENSCGRG00015033549.1)". Lineage: Eukaryota; Metazoa; Chordata; Mammalia; Rodentia; Cricetidae. The record is from RNAcentral.
GGAUUAAAGGCGUGUACCACCAGCGCCCGACAGAUGGGGCUUUAAAGACAGAAAAUUUUAUCAAGACCUCCACAAACCAGACCCCAGAUUCCCUCAAUCGUUGAGUGAGUCCCGGGACUCGCUCCACAGGGCCAGGAUGUUCAGGGACCUAGGCUGAGCUGUCAGUGUGAGGUGACUGAGUGGGAUGUGAGGUGUCUGAGUGGGGUGUGAGGUGUCUGAGUGGGGUGUGAGGUGACUGAGUGGGGUGUGAGGUGACUGAGUGGGGUGUGAGGUGACUGAGUGGAGUGUGAGGUGACUGAGUGGGAUGUGAGGUGCCUGAGUGGGGUGUGAGGUGUCUGAGUGGGGUGUGAGGUGACUGAGUGGGGUGUGAGGUGACUGAGUGGGGUGUGAGGUGACUGAGUGGGGUGUGAGGUGACUGAGUGGAGUGUGAGGUGACUGAGUGGAGUGUGAGGUGACUGAGUGGGAUGUGAGGUGCCUGAGUGGGGUGUGAGGUGUCUGAGUGGGGUGUGAGGUGACUGAGUGGGGUGUGAGGUGUCUGAGUGGGGUGUGAGGUGACUGAGUGGGGUGUGAGGUGCCUGAGUGGGGUGUGAGGUGUCUGAGUGGGGUGUGAGGUGACUGAGUGGAGUGUGAGGUGACUGAGUGGGGAUGUGAGGUGUCUGAGUGGGGUGUGAGGUGCCUGAGUGGGGUGUGAGGUGACUGAGUGGGGAUGUGAGGUGUCUGAGUGGGGUGUGAGGUGCCUGAGUGGGGUGUGAGGUGACUGAGUGGGGUGUGAGGUGCCUGAGUGGGGUAUGAGGUGACUGAGUGGGGUGUGAGGUGUCUGAGUGGGGAUGUGAGGUGUCUGAGUGGGGUGUGAGGUGUCUGAGUGGGGUGUGAGGUGACUGAGUGGAGUGUGAGGUGCCUGAGUGGGGUAUGAGGUGACUGAGUGGGGUGUGAGGUGUCUGAGUGGGGUGUGAGGUGACUGAGUGGAGUGUGAGGUGACUGAGUGGGGUGUGAGG